Molecule: ribosomal RNA, 454 nt
Filed under: uncultured Rhodospirillaceae bacterium
Lineage: Bacteria; Pseudomonadati; Pseudomonadota; Alphaproteobacteria; Rhodospirillales; Rhodospirillaceae
Description: bacterial SSU rRNA
Rfam family: Bacterial small subunit ribosomal RNA
Source: RNAcentral
CUACGGGAGGCAGCAGUGGGGAAUAUUGGACAAUGGGGGCAACCCUGAUCCAGCCAUGCCGCGUGAGUGAAGAAGGCCUUCGGGUUGUAAAGCUCUUUCAGAUGCGAAGAUGAUGACGGUAACAUUAGAAGAAGCCCCGGCUAAUUUCGUGCCAGCAGCCGCGGUAAUACGAAAGGGGCAAGCGUUGUUCGGAUUUACUGGGCGUAAAGGGCACACAGGCGGUCUUGCCAGUCAGGGGUGAAAGCCCGGGGCUCAACCCCGGAACUGCCUCUGAUACUGCAAGACUAGAGACUAGGAGAGGGUGGUGGAAUUCCCAGUGUAGAGGUGAAAUUCGUAGAUAUUGGGAGGAACACCAGAGGCGAAGGCGGCCACCUGGACUAGAUCUGACGCUCAGGUGCGAAAGCGUGGGGAGCAAGACAGGAUUAGAUAUCCCUGGUAGUCCACGCCGUAAACG